This 307-nucleotide ribosomal RNA is filed under the name Scorpaena notata (small red scorpionfish). RNAcentral describes it as "partial 12S ribosomal RNA". It matches the Rfam family "Bacterial small subunit ribosomal RNA", at positions 866 to 1341 of the family's 1533-position model. The record is from RNAcentral. Lineage: Eukaryota; Metazoa; Chordata; Actinopteri; Perciformes; Scorpaenidae.
UGCCCGGCUGGAUUCUAGGAGCAUUAUCUUGAAAUCCAACGGACUUGGCGGGGCUUUAUACCCCCCUACAGGAGCCUGUUCUAUAACCGAUUAUCCGCGUUAAACCUCACCUUUCGUUGUUUAUCCCGCCUAUAUACCGCCGUCGGAAGCUAACCCUGUGAAGGAUUAGUAGUUAGCACAAUUGGCAAGACCAAAAACGUCAGGUCGAGGUGUAGCGGAUGGAGAGGGAAGAAAUGGGCUACAUUCUCUUCAAUAGAGCACACGAAUGAUGACCUGAAAACUCAUCUGAAGGAGGAUUUAGCAGUAA